GACGAACGCUGGCGGCGUGCCUAAUACAUGCAAGUCGAACGAACCGCGACUAGGUGCUUGCACUUGGUCAAGGUGAGUGGCGAACGGGUGAGUAACACGUGGGUAACCUACCUCAUAGUGGGGGAUAACAGUCGGAAACGACUGCUAAUACCGCAUAGGACAUAGGAUCACAUGAUUCUGUGAGGAAAGGUGGCGCAAGCUAUCGCUAAGAGAUGGACCCGCGGUGCAUUAGCUAGUUGGUAGGGUAAAGGCCUACCAAGGCGAUGAUGCCUAGCCGACCUGAGAGGGUGAUCGGCCACAUUGGGACUGAGACACGGCCCAAACUCCUACGGGAGGCAGCAGUAGGGAAUCUUCCGCAAUGGACGCAAGUCUGACGGAGCAACGCCGCGUGAGUGAAGAAGGUCUUCGGAUCGUAAAGCUCUGUUGUUAGAGAAGAACAGCGCAUAGAGUAACUGUUAUGCGUGUGACGGUAUCUAACCAGAAAGCCACGGCUAACUACGUG
Molecule: ribosomal RNA, 502 nt
Filed under: uncultured bacterium
Lineage: Bacteria
Description: partial 16S ribosomal RNA
Rfam family: Bacterial small subunit ribosomal RNA
Source: RNAcentral